ACCUACUAGCUAUGUAAACCUGGGGUAUUCAAAGAAGAUUAGCAACUCUGGUGUGAGGACUCCUUGAGCCCUUUUCAAGGCAAUUCCCUCUUUUGAUGUCCAUCCAGCUGCCACCCAGCUCUCAUCUAUGGCUUCAAGAAGCUUUAGCAUGCACAGUGGCCACCCCCUGGUAAACCAUCUCAGGAAGUGUGCUAAAACAACUUGAGGGCAACUGACAGCUUCAAACCUGUUGCCUUGCCCCGGGCGGUCUCGUCAGGAAUAAAUAGAAGCUGACACAGUCAUUUGCUUAAAUCUUCUACGCAUUUUCACCGCAUUUCCCUCCCGAGGAUUCUCUAGAAACAGCCUGGGUCUGAAAUGUCCCUGAGGGCGACCCAGACCACCGCAGGAGCAUCAAACCAUUACCGGCCAGGAAUCACGUGUUUAGUCUGCAGAGAGAUGCUGUGAGAGCUGAGGACUCUGAGACAGAGAGACGCUACUACUCUCUUCAAGCUCUCAUGACCUCUGGUGUAGAUAUCUUCGUCAACUUUCUCCUAAUCGGUCUUCACGUAUGUUGUCUCUCCCUUUUUCAAUACAAA
Molecule: long non-coding RNA, 575 nt
Filed under: Monodelphis domestica (gray short-tailed opossum)
Lineage: Eukaryota; Metazoa; Chordata; Mammalia; Didelphimorphia; Didelphidae
Description: lncRNA (ENSMODG00000039055.1)
Source: RNAcentral